UUAAGUCCGCAGACUCAACUCGGAUUAGUUCGUUAUUUGCGCACCUCAAAUCGAUAGUCUUGCUUUUGCAAUUCACAACCGCAUCAUGCGCGGUUAACCAAUCCAAACCAAGAAUAACAUCAAACUCGUCGAACGGCAAAAGCAUCAAAUCGGCCGAAAAACAGGAUUCUCGGAUUAUUAGAGGGCAUCUCUUACACACUUUAUCAACAAGUACGCAUUGACCCAAAAGGUUUGAUACUCGAAUUACGAGCUCAGUAGACUCAACAGGUAGAGUCUUACUGGUUGCUAAGGUUUC
This 295-nucleotide long non-coding RNA is filed under the name Gossypium barbadense (sea-island cotton). Its description in RNAcentral is "long non-coding RNA (GBAR_LNC023039)". Lineage: Eukaryota; Viridiplantae; Streptophyta; Magnoliopsida; Malvales; Malvaceae. The record is from RNAcentral.